Molecule: ribosomal RNA, 459 nt
Filed under: uncultured Thiobacillus sp.
Lineage: Bacteria; Pseudomonadati; Pseudomonadota; Betaproteobacteria; Nitrosomonadales; Thiobacillaceae
Description: bacterial SSU rRNA
Rfam family: Bacterial small subunit ribosomal RNA
Source: RNAcentral
GCACAAGCGGUGGAUUAUGUGGAUUAAUUCGAUGCAACGCGAAAACCUUACCUACCCUUGACAUGCUAGGAACUUGCCAGAGAUGGCUUGGUGCCCGAAAGGGAACCUAGACACAGGUGCUGCAUGGCUGUCGUCAGCUCGUGUCGUGAGAUGUUGGGUUAAGUCCCGCAACGAGCGCAACCCUUGUCAUUAAUUGCCAUCAUUCAGUUGGGCACUUUAAUGAGACUGCCGGUGACAAACCGGAGGAAGGUGGGGAUGACGUCAAGUCCUCAUGGCCCUUAUGGGUAGGGCUUCACACGUAAUACAAUGGUCGGUACAGGGGGUUGCCAACCCGCGAGGGGGAGCCAAUCCCAGAAAACCGAUCGUAGUCCGGAUUGCAGUCUGCAACUCGACUGCAUGAAGUCGGAAUCGCUAGUAAUCGCGGAUCAGCAUGUCGCGGUGAAUACGUUCCCGGGCCUU